GACGAACGCUGGCGGCGUGCUUAACACAUGCAAGUCGAACGGAAAGGCCCUUCGGGGUACUCGAGUGGCGAACGGGUGAGUAACACGUGGGUGAUCUGCCCUGCACUUUUGGGAUAAGCCUGGGAAACUGGGUCUAAUACCGAAUAUGACCACGCUCUUCAUGGGGUGUGGUGGAAAGCUUUUGCGGUGUGGGAUGGGCUCGCGGCCUAUCAGCUUGUUGGUGGGGUAAUGGCCUACCAAGGCGACGACGGGUAGCCGGCCUGAGGGGGUGACCAGCCACACUGGGACUGAGACACGGCCCAGACUCCUACGGGAGGCAGCAGUGGGGAAUAUUGGACAAUGGGCGAAAGCCUGAUCCAGCAAUGCCGCGUGAGUGAUGAAGGCCUUAGGGUUGUAAAGCUCUUUUACCCGAGAUGAUAAUGACAGUAUCGGGAGAAUAAGCUCCGGCUAACUCCGUGCCAGCAGCCGAGGUAAU
Molecule: ribosomal RNA, 475 nt
Filed under: uncultured bacterium
Lineage: Bacteria
Description: bacterial SSU rRNA
Rfam family: Bacterial small subunit ribosomal RNA
Source: RNAcentral